GCCCUUUAAACAUUGCAAGUCUGAGCGGUAACAGGGGGAGCUUGCUCCCUGCUGACGAGCGGCGGACGGGUGAGUAAUGCUUAGGAAUCUGCCUGGUAGUGGGGGAUAGCCCGGGGAAACCCGGAUUAAUACCGCAUACGCCCUACGGGGGAAAGCAGGGGAUCUUCGGACCUUGCGCUAUUGGAUGAGCCUAAGUCGGAUUAGCUAGUUGGUAGGGUAAUGGCCUACCAAGGCGACGAUCCGUAGCUGGUCUGAGAGGAUGAUCAGCCACAUCGGGACUGAGACACGGCCCGAACUCCUACGGGAGGCAGCAGUGGGGAAUAUUGGACAAUGGGCGCAAGCCUGAUCCAGCCAUGCCGCGUGUGUGAAGAAGGCUUUCGGGUUGUAAAGCACUUUCAGUGAGGAGGAAGGCCUUAAGGUUAAUACCCUUGAGGAUUGACGUUACUCACAGAAGAAGCACCGGCUAACUCCGUGCCAGCAGCCGCGGUAAUACGGAGGGUGCAAGCGUUAAUCGGAAUUACUGGGCGUAAAGCGCGCGUAGGUGGUUUGAUAAGCGAGAUGUGAAAGCCCCGGGCUUAACCUGGGAACGGCAUUUCGAACUGUCAGGCUAGAGUGUGGUAGAGGGUAGUGGAAUUUCCUGUGUAGCGGUGAAAUGCGUAGAUAUAGGAAGGAACACCAGUGGCGAAGGCGACUACCUGGACCAACACUGACACUGAGUGCGAAAGCGUGGGGAGCAACAGGAUUAGAUACCCUGGUAGUCCACGCCGUAAACGAUGUCACUAGCCGUUGGGACUCUUGAAGUCUUAGUGGCGCAGCUUACGCACUAAGUUGACCGCCUGGGGAGUACGGCCCAGGUAAACUCAAAUGAAUUGACGGGGCCGCACAGCGGUGGACCAUGUGGUUUAUUCGACGCACGCGAAACUACCUGGCCUGACAUCAGAGACCUUCCG
This 950-nucleotide ribosomal RNA is filed under the name Marinobacter sp. BBT19. Its description in RNAcentral is "bacterial SSU rRNA". It matches the Rfam family "Bacterial small subunit ribosomal RNA", at positions 46 to 1000 of the family's 1533-position model. The record is from RNAcentral. Lineage: Bacteria; Pseudomonadati; Pseudomonadota; Gammaproteobacteria; Pseudomonadales; Marinobacteraceae.